CAGCCGCCGCGGUAAUACCGAGGGUGCAAGCGUUAAUCGGAAUUACUGGGCGUAAAGCGCGCGUAGGUGGUUCGCCAAGUUGGAUGUGAAAUCCCCGGGCUCAACCUGGGAACUGCAUCCAAAACUGGCGAGCUAGAGUAUGGUAGAGGGUGGUGGAAUUUCCUGUGUAGCGGUGAAAUGCGUAGAUAUAGGAAGGAACAUCAGUGGCGAAGGCGACCACCUGGACUGAUACUGACACUGAGGUGCGAAAGCGUGGGGAGCAAACAGGAUUAGAUACCCCCGUAGUCCCUGUCUCUUAUAC
This 301-nucleotide ribosomal RNA is filed under the name uncultured bacterium. RNAcentral describes it as "partial 16S ribosomal RNA". It matches the Rfam family "Bacterial small subunit ribosomal RNA", at positions 509 to 807 of the family's 1533-position model. The record is from RNAcentral.